CCUACGGGAGGCAGCAGUAGGGAAUCUUCGGCAAUGGACGAAAGUCUGACCGAGCAACGCCGCGUGAGUGAAGAAGGUUUUCGGAUCGUAAAACUCUGUUGGUAGAGAAGAACGUUGGUGAGAGUGGAAAGCUCAUGCAAGUGACGUAAUACCGC
This 155-nucleotide ribosomal RNA is filed under the name Lactococcus lactis. RNAcentral's name for it is "partial 16S ribosomal RNA". It matches the Rfam family "Bacterial small subunit ribosomal RNA", at positions 338 to 485 of the family's 1533-position model. The record is from RNAcentral. Lineage: Bacteria; Bacillati; Bacillota; Bacilli; Lactobacillales; Streptococcaceae.